This 474-nucleotide ribosomal RNA is filed under the name uncultured Methanomicrobiales archaeon. RNAcentral's name for it is "bacterial SSU rRNA". It matches the Rfam family "Archaeal small subunit ribosomal RNA", at positions 871 to 1337 of the family's 1478-position model. Lineage: Archaea; Methanobacteriati; Methanobacteriota; Methanomicrobia; Methanomicrobiales. The record is from RNAcentral.
ACGGGGAGCACCACAACGAGGUGGAGCCUGCGGUUUAAUCGGACUCAACGCCGGGAAACUCACCAGAUAAGACAGCUGAAUGAUAGUCGGGCUGAAGACUCUACUUGACUAGCUGAGAGGAGGUGCAUGGCCGUCGUUAGUUCGUACUGUGAAGCAUCCUGUUAAGUCAGGCAACGAGCGAGACCCACGCCAACAGUUGCCAGCUCGUCCUCCGGGAUGGUGGGGACACUGUUGGGACCGCCUCUGCUAAAGGAGGAGGAAGGAAUGGGCAACGGUAGGUCAGCAUGCCCCGAAGUUAUCUGGGCUACACGCGGGCUACAAUGGGUGGGACAAUGGGUAUCGACACCGAAAGGUGAAGGCAAUCUACCUAAACCCAUCCGUAGUUCGGAUUGUGGGCUGCAACUCGCCCACAUGAAGCUGGAAUCUGUAGUAAUCGUGUCUCAAAAUGGCACGGUGAAUAUGUCCCUGCUCCUU